GGCGCUAUAGUUUAAUAAUUAAAGCGUUAAGGUUUUAUAUUAGAUUAUUAUAUAAUAUUUUUAAAUUAUACUUAAUAAUAUACUCCCUAAAUUAUCCUUAAUAACUAUCCUUAAAAGUCGCGGGUUCAAAUCCCGUCGGCGCUA
Non-coding RNA from Sordaria brevicollis, 144 nucleotides. The record is from the annotation of a GenBank genome assembly. NCBI's taxonomy places the organism in Eukaryota, Fungi, Ascomycota, Sordariomycetes, Sordariales, Sordariaceae.